RNAcentral lists this ribosomal RNA (496 nucleotides) under uncultured bacterium. RNAcentral's name for it is "partial 16S ribosomal RNA". It matches the Rfam family "Bacterial small subunit ribosomal RNA", at positions 28 to 506 of the family's 1533-position model. The record is from RNAcentral.
GAUGAACGCUGGCGGCGUGCCUAAUACAUGCAAGUCGAGCGAACAGACGAGGAGCUUGCUCCUCUGACGUUAGCGGCGGACGGGUGAGUAACACGUGGAUAACCUACCUAUAAGACUGGGAUAACUUCGGGAAACCGGAGCUAAUACCGGAUAAUAUAUUGAACCGCAUGGUUCAAUAGUGAAAGACGGUUUUGCUGUCACUUAUAGAUGGAUCCGCGCCGCAUUAGCUAGUUGGUAAGGUAACGGCUUACCAAGGCAACGAUGCGUAGCCGACCUGAGAGGGUGAUCGGCCACACUGGAACUGAGACACGGUCCAGACUCCUACGGGAGGCAGCAGUAGGGAAUCUUCCGCAAAGGGCGAAAGCCUGACGGAGCAACGCCGCGUGAGUGAUGAAGGUCUUCGGAUCGUAAAACUCUGUUAUUAGGGAAGAACAAAUGUGUAAGUAACGAUGCACGUCUUGACGGUACCUAAUCAGAAAGCCACGGCUAACUACGU